CGUCUUGGACAGCUUUCAAGUCUAGAGUUUUCAACCUGGUCCCGUGGGUGGGGGCUGGGGAUAAGGGAACAAAGUGGAAUCCGUGGUUCGUGGUUUUUAUGUUUCAUGAAUACACCCACGCAGUCCUUUAAUCCACACGUAUCAUUUCCUUCUCCUUUCUCCCCCUUCCCCCCUUCUCCAUCACUGCAGAUUCAUUCAUGUUGUUGUGAUCUGAAAGAGCAGAAAUGAAGACAGCACUGUGCUCCGCAGUCGCUGCUCUGUGUGCAGCAGCCCUCCUCUCCUCCAUCGAGGCUGAAGAAACACCUCUCCUUCCUUGCCCAGCUCCUUCUGUGCUCUGUUUCUCCCAGCUAGUCAACUGGACUGUAACUCCCUCUCUCUGUCUCUCUGGUGUGCUGUCCACACCACCCCACUGACAGGACACAGGCCAGCCGAUGUGGCCGCUGGGUGCAGCGCCCCGAGGAGCCCACUGCCACUGCUGCUGCCGGCGGGCAGCCCAGCACGGCUGGGGCUGUGGCGCUGCCCCCCUGACGGACCAAGAACGGCUGGUCUCUGGGCUUGUUUAGUAAUAUUGAGAGAGGAAACGGAAAACCCACCACCCAACAACCCACAGCUUUGAAAUAAAAUGCUCCAACAGAGU
This is a long non-coding RNA of Lepidothrix coronata (blue-crowned manakin), 637 nucleotides long. RefSeq lists it as uncharacterized. The record is from RefSeq and is a predicted model, not a curated record. NCBI's taxonomy places the organism in Eukaryota, Metazoa, Chordata, Aves, Passeriformes, Pipridae. The transcript is spliced from 2 exons.